GAUUAGAGUUUGAUCCUGGCUCAGGACAACGCUGGCGGGGUGCAUGAGACAUGCAAGUCGAACGAGGCACUGUUGAGCUUGCUCGACGGUGUCCUAGUGGCGGACGGCUGAGUAACGCGUAGGUGACCUACCCGGAAGUGGGGAAUAACUGCCCGAAAGGGUGGCUAAUACCGCAUGUGGUCGACGAUUCGAUUCGUCGUCCAAAGGAGCAAUUCGCUUCCGGAGGGGCCUGCGUCCGAUUAGCUAGUUGGUGGGGUAACGGCUUACCAAGGCGACGAUCGGUAGCUGGUCUGAGAGGAUGAUCAGCCAGACUGGGACUGAGACACGGCCCAGACUCCUACGGGAGGCAGCAGUCGGGAAUUUUGCCCAAUGAGCGAAAGCUUGAGGCAGCAACUCCGCGUGAGGGAUGAAGGCUCUAGGGUCGUAAACCUCUUUUCUCAGGGAAGAUACAAGACGGUACCUGAGGAAUAAGCGACGGCUAACUACGUGCCAGCAGCCGCGGUAAUACGUAGGUCGCAAGCGUUGUCCGGAUUUACUGGGCGUAAAGAGCGCGCAGGCGGCUGGCCAAGUCCGAUGUGAAAGCUUCCGGCUUAACUGGAAAAUUGCAUCGGAAACUGGUCGGCUUGAAGGUGGGAGAGGGUAGCGGAAUUCCCGGUGUAGUGGUGAAAUGCGUAGAUAUCGGGAGGAACACCAGUGGCGAAGGCGGCUACCUGGCCCAUUCUUGACGCUGAGGCGCGAAAGCUAGGGGAGCGAACGGGAUUAGAUACCCCGGUAGUCCUAGC
This 782-nucleotide ribosomal RNA is filed under the name uncultured bacterium. RNAcentral describes it as "bacterial SSU rRNA". It matches the Rfam family "Bacterial small subunit ribosomal RNA", at positions 1 to 800 of the family's 1533-position model. The record is from RNAcentral.